Non-coding RNA from Cyanistes caeruleus (blue tit), 1301 nucleotides. NCBI's taxonomy places the organism in Eukaryota, Metazoa, Chordata, Aves, Passeriformes, Paridae. The record is from RefSeq and is a predicted model, not a curated record.
GCACAAUUAGGAAUUCCAGAAAGAAAAACCUUCCAUACAUGAGACAAAACUCUUGAAAAGUUUGGAAAAUGCUGUGAAUCCCUUACACUACAGCAAUGAUGGCCCAUCUGCUGGGAGAAAUAUGCUGAUAUAAACAGUGCAGUUUUUCUUAUGUCGUGGUGGUUAUACAAUUGAUGCUAACACAACCAAUUAGAAGCUGUCUCUGAGCAAACAACACAGAGAGAAGACUGGAACUAUGACCAUUUACCAACCUACUCCCCACAUAGACAGUAUGAGGAAUUACCUACAAAGGAAACCGGAGCCUCCACGGCAUCUCUCUGUCAUCCCUCUCUCCAGAUGGUGCCUCUAAAUCCCUUCUGAAGGCGAUUGUGCAAACCAGCAUCACAACAAGAAAUGUUCACAGCUUCAACCAGUGGAAAUUAAUACCAGCGACAGAAAUCCUAUCACUGGAGCCAUGGAGGAAGACACACACUCCAGGUUGAAGCAGCCGUUGAUGCUACACGGAAAGACAAGCCAAGGAGACCUUGCUCAGGUUUCCUUAUAUUCCAAAAAAAUAGGACACCAUCUUGGAGUAAUUUGAAUAAUAAUUUGAAGUUUAUCUUCCCCUGAUACCUUCAAGCCUGAAAGCUUCCUGAGCACCUCUGCUACACCCCCCAAGAAAAUUAUCUGCACAAAGCUAUCCAAACACAGUAUAUCUGUGAUUCCAUUUCCCUCUGAACUGUGGAGCAGGAUUCACACCACCAGGUAGGUGCCACUCUUUCUCCAGAAGCAAGCAAAGUUUGCUCUCCUGUCUGUUGAAGAAACUCAGGAGAUACAAUGUCUUCCUGAAGCACUUCAUUUCUGGUGCUGGAUUGAUGUUUCUGUCACCACAGAGGGCUUCCAGUGCUUGGGUAGGACCUUUUAUGUGACUGGCUCAUCUACCACUGAACCGUUUUGCUUCCCUCAUUCAGAUGUAGGCAGGACAAGCAAAUGGGCAGCACCUUACCAGGCUGUUGAAGACUGGGACAAUACUCAAGAAAUAGGGCUGUCUAAGAAAGUUAGUUUGCCUGAGCAUUAGCAAUUUGGAGGGAAAAUAUAAACAGUGUCUUGAUUCUGGAAAUAUUAAGAUAAAUUGCCAAAUUUGGGGUUUUUUUCUACCGAAAAAUAUGUGGGCAGAAACAUUUCUCAUAAUUCUAGGAGCCAAGAGUUUUUUUCCAUAUGAAAACAGAUAAAGUUUUCUAAGGAAUUGGUAGUACUAAUCUCUUGGUAGAAAAACACCCACUUACUAAGAACCACAGGCCAUCUCAGUCCACAGACCAGGA